CACCUUGCUAAGUUGCUGAGGGUGACUUUGAACUCCUGAUAGUCUUGCCUCAACUUCCCCAGCUGCUGUGAUUACAGUCGUGUACCACCGUGCCCGGCCUGCUUGAUACUUUUAUUUCGUUCCUUUCAUGUUCCUAUGAUGUGUCAUCUAAGAAACUUGGAAAUCUUCUGAAGCUGGUUAUGUUUAUUUUUACAUUACUAUAUCAUAACAUGGGUCCUUUACUUUUCUUUCUUGUCAUUGCUAAAUUGACUAAUUUUCCUUUCCCGAAUAUUUUCCAGCUUCAAAACAAGUUUAGAAUGUCUCAAGGUAAAUGUUUUUCGAGUAAAAAUUUUUAUGACUUCCUUUACAUAUGAGGCCUUUAUUACCCAGAAAUAUAUUUGAACUAUUACUUAAACUGCGCUAGAAAUGUUAACAUGAGGCUGGGUAUGGUAGCACAUACCUAUAAUCUUCGCUACUAGAGAAGCUAAGGCAAGUUCCAAGAUCUGUCUAUGCAAGUUACCAAUACUCUGUCUCAAAAUAAAAAAUGAGGUGUAGGAAAGUCCACUGACAACUAAAAAUAUAUUUUAAAAAAUAAAUUUAAAAAAUUUUUUAAAAAUUGAAAAGUCAUAUAGAUAUUUGGUAGUUAAAUAUUUUUCCAUGUCAUUGUGUUAUCACUUGCAGGGCAUACCAAUGUUUAGUUGAGCUUUUUGUGCAUAGCCUAUUAGGUCAUUUUUUAAUUUACCAUUUUCAAUGAUGAAUAUCCAUGCUUAUGGAUAACUCUUUGCACUUAUUUCUAAUUUCUAAUUGCUUCCAAAAAGAAAUGCGUUAUGGAAAAUUAUGAAUUAAAAACUAAUACUGGGGCCAGGCAUGGUGUCCCAUACUGGAAAGAGCAAGGACAGAGGAUUGCAAGUUCAAGGCUAGCCUCAGCUACUAAGCAAGACUAUGUCACACAAUGAAAAAUAAAAAUAAGGCCUGGCACAGUGGCAUACGGGCUAAUAAGGAGGCUGAGGCAGGAGGAUGGUGAGGUCAAAGCCAGCCUCAGAGGCAACCUUAGUGAUUCCCUAAGCAACUCAGCAAGACCCUGUCUCUAAAUAAAGUACAAAAAAGGCCUUCGGAUGUGGUUCAGUGGUUAAGUGCCCCUAGAGUCAAUCCCCAGUACCAAAAAGAAAGCAUGAUUAUGUAGCUCAGUGGUAGAGCACCUCUGGGUUCAACGCCCAGUACCACCAUGAUGCCAAAAAUAUAAAUAAAAAUUUAAAAAAUGUCUAACAAGCUAGGAUGUAGCUCACUGGUAGAGUACAUGUCUAGCACAUACCUGACCUUGGGCUCCUUCUCUAGCUUCAGAGGGAAAAAAAAAUCAUAGCUUGUUUUUACAUUCCUUGUUCCUUUAUCUGUUUAGGGAAUAAUAGUGAGACAGUGCAACCUGGAAUAAAAGGUGAAACUAAACAUCAUUUUAUCUUCAAAGGUUCAGAGAACACUAAAUGCUAUUCAUCGACCCCAUCCAUUCCUCCAACAGUGAAUGAGGCAACCCUGUCUCCAGUAUUCUGUUACCCGAAGACUUCUUCCGUGCCAACAGCUCCAUUUAAUUUCAAUAAAGUAGCCUCCUCUGGGUUUUCAGAAAGAAGUAGCAUUCCCCACUGCACAAUGCCUUCUGGAAGACACAGUGGUGCUAAUGCAGCUGCUGGGGAAGGCACUGGAAUUGCACAGCCCAUCGACCUGGCUCCUCCUCCCUCCCUGCCUCCUCCCAUGACAGAUUCCCUUGCUUUUUCUGAGCCUCCCACUGGUCCAACUGAGCAGCUAACUACUAAUCAGCCAAAUCAGCAGCCCCCAUUCCUCAUUUCUCCUCAUGAGCCUGCUUCCUGUCUGGUGGAAGAAGAUGAGCAACAUUCUGAAGCAGAUGAGCCUGUAUCUGAUGACCCCCUAUCAGAUGACCUUCUUUCACCUGCUGAGGAAAAAUUGCCCCAUAUCGAGGAAUAUUGGUCAGACAAUGAGCACAUCUUCUCGGAUCCCAAUAUUGGUGGGGUGGCAAUUGCGCCCACUCAUGGUUCUGUCAUGAUUGAGUGUGCCCGGCGAGAGCUUCAUGCUACCACUGCUGUGGCCCACCCAAACCGCAAUCAUCCUGCUCGCCUCUCCCUUGUAUUCUACCAGCACAAAAACCUGAAUAAGCCCCACCAUGGUUUUGAACUAAACAGGAUUAAGUUCGAGGCUAAAGUAGCUAAGAAUAAGAAAAUGAAGGCCUCAGAGCUGAAAGACCAGGCAGCUAACAAGGGUGCUGAAUUGUCCCCUGAAAUAAAUGAAUUGAACCAAAUUCCUUCUCAUAAAGCAUUAACAUUGACCCAUGACAAUGUUGUCACUGUGUCCCCUUAUGCUCUAACACAGGUUGCAGGGCCCUAUAACCGGUGGGUCUGAAGGCUUUCCUCCCCUUCUUAAUGCCUUUCCUCAUGCAGUGUAUUUUUUCAAGGUGCUGUUAAGAGAAAGUCAUGUUGUCGUUUACUCUAUCUUCAUCUCACCCAUUUCAAGUCUGAGGUAAAAAUUUUAAAAAUGGGGUGGGUACUUAACUGUGACUAUUUUGUCAAUUGGUAGAAGGUGCACAUUUUAAGCAAAAAUAAAAGUUUUCUAGUUUUAAAUACAUAAAGAAACGUUUUGGUUAGGUGUUAACCUUGACAGAAUCACUCAGUUUGGUGCUUUAAAUUAAGUCUGUUUACUAUGAAACAAGAGUCAUUUUUAGAGGAUUUUAACAGGUUCAUGUUCUAUGAUGUAAAGUCAAGACACAGUGUUAACUCUACACAGCUCCUGGUGCUUAACCACAUUGACACAGUUAAAAAUAAGCUGAAUCAUUGUUUCAUGGUGCCAUGUUCCAAUAUCUUCCAAUCAUUGCUAGAAAAUCAGCAUUUUCCUUUGAAAUAAACCAAUGAAAUGCUUUCUCUCUUUAAAUAUUUCUCCUGUAUAAAAUAAUUCAUUAUUGUUUGUAAUGGUUGGAGGCUGUUCGUAAUUGUAAAUAUAUAUAUUUUCAAAGCACUUUCUAUUUUUAAAAGUAACUUGAAAUAGUAUAGUAUAGGAAUCCUAUUGUCUAUUGUUUGUGCAUAUUUGCAUACAAGAGAAAUCAUUUAUUCUUGCUGUGUAGAGUUCCAUCUUGUUAAAUGCAACAUGUUAUUUGCAUCCUGUAUAUGAUUUUUAUUCUUUUAAUGUGUCCUUUCAUGUUAUGUAAUAGCUACUUAUAUAAAAUAGUGAAUAAUUCCUAAAAUUGGACUUAAGAAACAUCAUCAAUAUUGACUAAGUUGUUUUAAAUUUUAAAAUAGUGUGGUCUCUUAUGAUUUAUUGAGCUACCAUGGCCUCAAGUUACUUCCAUCCCAGCUUUUUCAAUAUAACCCAUUAAACAAGUUUCAAAAGGGAAAUGGGAGAAAAUGUGAUUCAGAAGAGUCAAAUGCUUUUAAUGUGUCAAAGUGAUAUAAUACAAAAAUUAAGUAACCAGAAUCCUACCCAUCCCAAAUUGUUUUGUUUUUUUUUUUGUUAUGAUAUCCAUCCUUGUGUAGAAUAAUAGUUACUCCCUGGCCCUAGUCAAAGAAUGAUAAUAGUAUUAUAAAUAUGGUUAUACCGAAACAAAAUGUUUAGAACAAGAAGAACCUUCUAAGAAAUACUUGAUUCUGUUAAAAUGUAGAGGUGCUAUAACAUUCAAAGUAUCAGAUUCUUUGGGAGUCCAGAAAACCUAAUGGUGCUUCUCCCUUGAAAUGGCAUAGGAAGCCCACAACUGCUAACUCAUAAUUUUGGUGCAAAAGCAAACAGUUCCAGCAAGGUCUCAAAAAAAAAAAAAAAAAAAAACUCAUUAUAACUUAUUAAAAUAAUAUAUGGUGCAAAGUAUCAGUUUAAAGCUUUUGACUAAGUAAAGGAAUAUGAAGGGAUUGUAAAUAAGGACAUGUCCAUUAAUAGACCUGUAUAUGUAAAAUAGGGUAAUUCAAUGACUUGUUUUAGUAUUUUCUGUGCCUUAGAUAUCUGUUUUAAAAUGUGGCGUUUUUUUGUUUUGUUUUGUGUUUUUGUUGUUUUUUGAGCCUAAGGUUUCUUAUAAGUAUAUAAGUGAUUGUUUAUUGCUUCAGCUGCUUAAAUAACAUAUUUUCUAGCAUUUGACUAUCAGGAAUAGACCCUUGUGAUAACUACAUUUUAGAUUUUAAGCCUUAGCUCCCACUAGAAGUUGUUUCCUCACCAGAUAUAAUGGAUAAAACUUUAUGUCCCUUAAUGCAUCCAUCCAUCUACCCAUUUUCCCAGUACACACUUAUUGAAUACCCGAAAAAUUUAAAUGUCACUUUUGUUUUUCUCUGAAUCAUCACCUAUGAAAUGGUAGAGUUGAAGAAUUAAAAUCCUCAAUGAUACCUUGGAAAUAUAUUUUUAAAGAAAUAGCAAAUUACAUUCCAAAUAAUCCAUGGUAGUAUAUGUACAAUAAUUCAAAUCAAUUUGUUUUUGUCUUUAAAAAACUUUCAUAAUAAUCUAAACUUAUAACACCAAUGUUAAUUAAAGGGAGUAGUGGGAUUUGUGAAACUAGUUAUAGUUUACCAAAACAAUUACUGAGAAUGCCCAUUUUAAACUACAAUGUUUCCAGUCCAUUGUUGUAAUUAACAUCAUGAAUGGAAAUGUGCUCUUUCUCCUGAAGUGAGAAAAUAAAUUGGUUUGAAUGACAUUUUCACUCAUAAAACUGGUCAUCUAACAUUAUUUCUGCAUUUCUAUUAUGUUUUAGUAUAAUGACUUUUCUUUUUCCUCUUUAUUGCACUCAAAGUAGGUUUUAAGUCUGCUUUUUGUUCAUGGUAUGAUCAUUGAAUUCAUUUAUACCUGACUUCCAAGUUAUUCCAGUUAAUAAUGUUACAAAUUUAUCAACUAUAAUGGCCAGGCGCAGUGGCACUCACCUGUAAUCCCUGUGGCUCUGCAGGCUGAGACAGGAGAAUUGAAAGGUCAAAGGCAGCUUCAGCAAUGGCAAUGCGCUAAGCAACUCAGUGAGACCCUGUGUCUAAGUAAAAUACAAAAAUGGGGGUUGGGAUGUGGCUCAGUGGUCGAGUACCCCUGAGUUCAAUCCCCAGUACCAAAACAACAAAAUUUAUCAACUAUAAUAAAAUAACUCUUGCCUAUUGUAAAAUCCUACUGAAAGUAUAACUGUCCCUCAAAAUUCCAUUUCUAGUGUUUAUGAGGCCAUCACUGAAUUAUAUUUUCCCCCUCUGCUCAUCAGCCUUACCUACAUUUUGUUUCCAAUUCAUCCUUAAAGAGCCAACUAGAUCAUAUCAACCUAAUUGAAAUAUCUAUUGGGCAACGAAUCUACAAUUGUAGUUGAAUUUUGGGGACAUUCACAUCUUCAGUAACUUUCUAACAUCAUUAUUCAAUUUGCAUGUGGAUGAAAUAAUUUGAUUUGUUACAUACAGAACUUCACUAGAUGAGAUCCAUAACCAAUUUACUUAAGACAUAACCCCAAUACAUACUUAAUUGAAUGCAUACCCUUGUGCAAAUGUACCGACUUAGGUCAUAGGAAGUAACCUACUUUCUAAUGUUAUUACUCCUGUGGACUCACUGAUUAUCAUUCCACCAUAGCAUGAGUGAAACUAACCUGGAAAUAGUUCUUUAAAACAAAAAAAUCAAGAUUUUUUUUUUCUGAGGCAAAUUUAAAAUAUCAUUGCAUGACAGUUUCCACCAAUAAUGGGCACAGCAUUUCCUUUGAACAUGCCUACUAAAUUGAUUGGUUUAUGCAAUCUUCAGUAGUUUCCUUCAAUUUCACACUUUAAUGCAUAGAAACCUAGGUUUACUACAAGUGUGAGUAUUAAUCUUUUGUAGAAAUUUACGAAAAUUGUUAAAUAAGAUAACAUGUUAGCUUCUCAGAAUGUUGGAGUUCACCUCAGAAGUCAAACAGUUCGUUCACUAGAAGCCAAAGAACAGAUAUCAAUUUCAAUUUGUAAUUAAACCUUGAACCUUGUACAGGUGAAGACUACUUUGUGCUUAUAACCAUAGAGUAUAAACAAACUUUAUUUUCUCACCCACAAAGUGAUUUAUCACUAGGAAAUUGUCUUCUUUGGGAACGUAUCAAAAAUUAAAUGCCAGGUAUUGUGGUGUCCGUCUGCAAUCCCAACAAUUCUGGAGGCUGAGGCAGGAAGAUUAUAAAUUCAAUCUAGCCUCUGAAAUUUUGUGAGACUCUAAGCUAGUUAGUAAUGAAACCCUGUUUCAAGAUAAAGGGAUACAAGUGGACUCCGUGGUAAGCACCUCUGGGUCCGAGCACACACAAAAGAAAAUAACAUAAAAUUGCUUUUCCCCUCCACCCUGAGAUCUUUAGAAAAAGUGAACAGUGAAAAUAGGUCAAAAUGCCUUUGCCUGCUGACUUCAUGUACUUUUGUGGGAAAUUAGCUGACUUACCCAUGAAGCUGUCUUUUGUUUGUUUGUUUGUUUUUUAUUUAAUUUGGCACGGUACUGGGGACUGAACCCAGGUCCUUAUGUGUGCCACUGAACUACCUCCUCAUCCCUGGAAGCUAUUUUGUUAACUCUUCCUAGAAGAUGUGGCAAUACUCUGGCAUUUCAUUAAGCACAUCUCAAGAGCUUCUAUAGUGUAGGCUUAUACUUAUUCCUUCCCUUGGUACCUAGCAUACAUAAGGGUGUUUUUAAAAUAUUGGAUGAUUAAGAGGGCUGGAGCUGUAGCUCAGUGGCAGAGCACUUGUCUACCAUACAUGUGGCACUGGUUUCAAUCCUCCGCACCACAUUAAAAAAAAAAUACAGCCAUUUUAAAAGAUUGGAUGAUUGAAAUAUUUGAGGAAAACAUUUCCAUACUACCUAGCCAUGGUUAUACAACUCCCUUCAUAUCCAGCUAGGCAAGUCCCAGCAAUUAAUUUCGAUGUGUCUCUCUACAUGAAGUGGAAUAUUGUUUCAACAUCCAUAGCUCCUAAAAUUACUCAUAGGUGUGUUGUAGCUUCAACACAGGUCUGUACAUCAUACUUAACUAAGUGAUGUCAUCAGUGCCAGAUUACCGAGUCUGAGUUUAUCUAAAUCAAAUUGUGUUCCAUUUUGAGUUUUCUUCUAACAGCGUUAGAAAAUGUUUUCAUUGUGGCUCAGGAAGGCAAUUCUGAAAGUCAAAACCCGUAUGUACUUCAUUGGAAACUGAGUCUGCAUUUUCUUAAUGUAUGUGCUACAUAGAAACAGUAAGCUGAGACAGGAUGAUUAGUUCAAAGUCAGCCUCAGCAAUUUAUCCAGGCCUUAAGCAACUCAGUGAGACCUUUUCUCUAAAUAAAUAUAGGGCUUAGAGAUGUGGCUCAGUGGUCAAGUGCCCCUGAGUUCAAUCUCCAGUGCUCAAAAAACAAAAUAAACUGAAUACCUUGCUGGACACAGUAAUCAAGAGGAUCACAAGUCAGCCCAACCUGGGCAAUUAAGCAAGGUCCUGUCUCAUGAUAAAAUAUAUUUAAAAGAAGAGAGAGGUGGCUGGAGAUAUACUCAGUGAUAGAGCACUCCAGUUUCAAUUCCUAGUACCACAUUAAGGAAAAAGGAAGUUUCUCUAUUAAUUUUUUAAAAAUGGUAGAGCGAGCUUUUAUUCAAGAGCUCACUAUUUUUGUCCUUGUUGAGCUACCUAUUCGGUUCAGCAUCUGGAUGAAUUUGAUUUCCCACAUCUUAAGCCUGGGCUGGUCUUUAACUACAGCAAUCUUCCUGCCCCAGCCUCCCAGACAGCUGAUACUAUAGGCAUGAGCUGCUGUGCCCAACUUGAAUGAAUAUGUUUUGAUCCUUUUUUGGGGAGGGAUGCGCCCAAUUAAAUAUCACUGUUUACGCAGAAGGAUUUUUUUUUUUUUUUGAGAUAGAGGUCUUCUUUAUUCCCCAAACAAGCCUCUGACAAAAGGCAUAUGUUUCAUUACAUCAAGUAAUCCAAAGGGAACACUUAUAUUGUCACUCUUCAUUUUCACUUGUGUUUAAAGUGCCUCAAGGCCAGGUGCAGUGAUGUGCCUCCUCAAGAGGCUGAAGCCAGACACAUCACAAAUUUGAGACCAGCUUUAGCAAGACCCUAUCUCGAAAUAAAAAAUAAAAGGGGCUGGGGAUGUAACUCAGUAGUUUAAGUGACCCUGGGGGGUUCAAACCCCAGUACCAAAAAAGGAAGGGGUAGCUCAAGGCAUGUUCAAGUUUAUCUUGGUUAGUAUGCAAACACUUCAUAUUCCUAGCUUUAAAAUUCAAACAUUAAUAAUUUCCUUAUUUCCUGUAGACAUUUUUACAUCCCUACUAUCAUUCUCAUUAUCUUAUCUGGGUCAUAAACUUUAUUCUCCUUUGUUCAGCCAUAGAUGUCCCUUAUUUUAAAGCAAAAUUUAGUCAAAAGUAGGAAUGUUAUCAAAUAGAGCAUAAGCUGAUUUAACUCACUUAUGUUUGAAUGUGAUGUUUGAGAAUUGGUUAAUCCUAUAAACAUAAUUGUCUAAAAAUAGAAAUUUUGCCCCAGCAGCUGUUAUGUAAAGGCAUUCUCGUUCAUAAGAAAAAAAAAUUGCAGCUGUCAGAUUUUCAUUUUAGGAGAAAUAAUAUUGGAAUGUAAUUCUCCAUUUGGCAGGCUAUAAACUUAAAAGCCUGGGAUAAAAAUUCGGAUCAUUAUUAUUUUUCCAUUUUAUGGAAGCUGCACUGUUUGCUAAGUUCACUUUGAUUCUUUUUACAUCUUUAUUCUUCCUGUGAUUUUUAUUUACAUUCAUAAAAAUUUCUUUGUCCAUUUCUUUGUUCUGUUUCCAUUCCUCAGGUCCAUUCUGCAAAUACACAUGGUUUGUUUUAAAAACAGUAGUGACCUUGGUUAAGUUGUCUUUUUCUGUCUUUUAAAAUCAUCUCUCACAAGUCCUUUCAGAUACAAUACCAAAAGCAAUCAAGAGCUUUUAUUAAACCAUUUAAAUUUAGUGGCAAAUUCUGUUUAUAGGAAUAUGCAGUAGAUAUAAGAACAGAGUUUAUUAUCAAGUGGUGUCUCUACAAAUCCCAUUAAUAUUUAAAUUUUUUCUUGGUGUUCAAGACUUUUGCCAAAAAAAUUGUAUUAGAAGAGAAAUAUUUUAAGACUUUGUGUUUGGUAUGGUUUUGCAAUUUCUGUGUAAUCCCUCAUGCUAAUUAUAAAUUUACUAAACAGUAACUGAAUUAGUAAUGGAUCUUAUCUACAAAGUAGGCAGUAUCUCUUUACCUGUAUUUCUAAUUUCCCAAUCAAACUAUGUGGAUAGCUAUUUUCUAAUGUAAAUUUACUCCUUUGGCAUUCUUAGGUUGUUAGCAAUAGUAGGAACUAUUCUAUAAUCUGGGUGAGAAAAGUCUAAAAAUGAAAGUAAUUGGAAGAGGGUGAUUCAGUAAGCCAUCAGAAAGUGAAGGGCACGGCACUAUGGGGAAGAGUUAAGGGCCAGAAAGGAGGGAGAAUUAUGCUCCUACCAGCAACUGAAGGUUCAAUCAACCACCUCAAAAGGAAGAGAUACUUUUUAAUAUUUCUUCUUUGCACUCUACAACAUUUUAUAUGUGAAAGUUGCUGCUAAAAUUAAGGAAAUGUUUUGGACGUAAAUAUGACAGUAAUAAAAGCUAUGAUCCUUGGCUGGGGAGAUAUCUCAGUGGUACAGUGCUUGCCUUGCAUGUUCAAGGCCCUGGUUUAAUCCCCAAUAUCAAUAAUAAUAACAAUAAUUAUAAUAAUACCCCUGCACUUAAUGAAGCACUAUUAUAAAACUGCUUUAUUAUGUGCAACUUUUUCUUUCUGACACUGAAAAUCAGACAAAGAAUAUUAUUCCCAUCUUACAGAUCAGGAAUAUGCGGAUGACAAGAAUAGUAAAUGGCUGGGACUUAGAGAGUCACCAAGCAACUCAAACAAUCUGAGAAUAAAAUAUUUAAAUAUUUAGUAUCUGCAGAGAAUCUUAUAAUUUGAAGAACAUGUUUCUCAAGUAUUUUGUUUCCAUUAUUUAUUAAACUAGCUAUUUUCUCAUGCCUAAGAAAAGAUUCCUAAAUUCCUAGGACUUACAUAUUAGGGCUUGGAUUUACUGUUUCUUUGUUUUUUUUUUCUUCCUUAAAAAAAAAAACUUUAUAAAGAAUAUCCCUGGGGGCUGGGGAUGUGGCUUAAGCAGUAAGGUCACCUGGCAUGCGCGGGGCACUGGGUUUAAUCCUCAGCACCACCGAAAAAACAACAACAAAAAAAUACCCCGGUACUACUAAAAUCGGGAAUCUUCUAAAUAAUUUUUCGAAUACUACUUAAAAAAAGAGGGUCAGCACCUCACAAUCAAUGUUUAAUGUAUUUCUUAAAAUUUAUUGAAGUGCACGUUUCUUGAAGGAUAUGGUGCAAGGUAAGCAAUUCUAGUUCCCAGCCCCUCAUAAUAUAAAUGCUAAAUUGUUGGCCUAUCUAAAAGGAAACACUUUUUUUUUUUAAAUUUGAAUUUGUCUUGUUUUUUGUUUCUCUUUGUUUUCAGGCACAUAAAAUUUGUGGUUCAAAAGAUAUAUAUUCCUUUGCCAGAAGGUUAAGAAAAAUAAUGAGAUGUAUUUGUAAAGUUUCUAAUAACCUUUAUAUAGAUUAUUUUAGCAACCCCUAUAUAAAUAUAGAGUGAAUAUUUUGACUAUUCCAUCAGUACAAAAAUCCAGGCCAAAAUUUGAAUAUUAAGAACAAACAAAAAAAAUCUUAUGAUUUUGGUGAGUUUGGUAACUGCCUAUCCUCACCAAUGCCUAUCUGUGCUAGGAUAAAAUGGAUAAUGAUAUAGAAUUUCACAAAAACAGCUCUUUUUAAAAAAAGAUUAAAUAUUUUUAUUGCAAUGUAUGGUUAUAUAUUUUUUUUUAGCCUUUGUAAGAUAACAUUGUGAUAGGUGCUUGAAGAGGAUAUUUUUCCAGAACUGGUUUUAUAGUAAAAACUAAGGGCAGCUUUUGCAUUGUGAAAUAUGGGUAGAUGGCCAUAUAUGGGUUACUGAGAAAUCAAGAUGUGUUCCCUAAAAAGAAACUUAUAAAAUUACUUGGCAGAGAGAUAACCAUGUUUUCUGUUUCGUUCACAUUUUCUCAUGCUAUAUGGUCACCUACCAAGUAAAUUCACAUGCAUAUCAUUACCUUGGCUUAAAGGAGAAGCAGAAUGCUCAUUCUUGGCAGGAACAAAAUGCUCAAAGGUUCUUUACCAUGGUGAAAUAGAGUAGUACUGAAUUCCCAAGAGAGAAUUAUCAGUUUUAUAAGUUAAUAUUUCUUGUCUCUACCUGACUUCUCUCUUUGGAAUAUAUUUACUAUUUAUUUUUUUACCUUUGAUUUUUUUGCUUUGGGGUAUUUUUUUUUUUUAUCUAUUGCCGUCCUACUGUAUUAAAUAUCCCUUAUAUUGAAAUGUUUGUAAAGAAAUACUCUUUAAAACUUCACAAAAUAUCUGUUUUAGUUCUUAACAUAUGAGGGAAACAGUUAAAGAAAAAGCACUUCACCAUGUAGAAGGGAAAGAGAUAAUUCUGUAAUUAUGAUACUUUUAUUACAUGAUCAACAUUUAGGCCUCUGCAGACAAGGGAACACUUACUAGCAGUACUUGAAGACGUAAGUUGGAAUUGCAUGUUACUUGAAAGAUCUAAUUAAGCUAAAUUUUGGUGCACAGCAGUUGUACAUGAUUUCAUGUUUAUGUAGCAAAAUGCAUUGAAAUGUACUAGUAUUGAAAUAUACAUGUAAAGGUAGUUGUGGAAAUUGUCUAUUAUAUUUUCCUGUGUGUUUAAUUUGUUAGAGCAUAAACUUUCUUUUUUUAAUUGUUCUAACUAAAUAAGGCUAAAUGAAUAAUGUAAUUGAAAAUAUAUUUUAAAUCUUUGUGAUGAGUUUUUAAAAAAAAACUAUUACAAAAUUGUAUCAUUCCUGAUUACACAGAACUUUGUUGGUGGUUUUAAAUAAAUUUUAUACUUCUAUUUUGCACCUGGUAGUCUAAUUUUUCUUUCCUCUUCAAAAUCAUAUUUUAAAAAUUUAGUAUCCUACAGAAUUCACACAUUUUAAUUACAAAAGACAAUAAGAUUUAAUAUUUGGAGAUGCCAAACAUAUAGAUAAUGUUAAACACUAAACCAAGGCUGGAGGUGUGGAAUGCACUGGAUUCAUUGCCCAACAAUUAAAAAAUAAUAACAAAAAACUGUCCUUUGGUUGCACUAGCCAUGUUUGAAGUGCUUAGUGACCACAAGUCAUUAUGUGUCUACUGUAUUGGAUAGCUCAGCAUAUAGAAUAUUUUUAUCACCCUAGUCCUUUGUAGUCUUAUCACCUUGUUGCAUGUUUUCCCCUGGUAAUGAUUAAUUUGAUUUCAGUUUGUACGGUUUUUUAUGUUUUUUAGAAUGUUAAGAAAAUCAAAUGGCUGGCUUAUUUCAUUUAGCAUAAUGAUCUAGAGAUUCACCCAUGUUAAGAACCCUUAUUUACUACAAAAGAUAACCUUAAAUAAUAAUCAGAUGUCACCCAGAUUAGAUGUGCUGGUGGCAAUUGAUCUUCAACUGAUUCAUGUAUCCAAGCAGAAAUGAAACAAAGAUUUUUAACCAUGUAUAGUGGUACAUACCUGUAAUCCUAGAUACUUGGGAGGCUGAAGUGAGAGGAUCACAAAUUUGAGGCCAGCCUGUGCGAUUUAUUGAGACUCUGUCUUAAUAAAAUGGACUGGGUAUAUUGCUAAAUGUUAUAGUAUGUGUGAGUCUCUGGGUUCCCCCCUCAGUACUGCACCCAGAAGAAUUACAUAUAUAUUUUUUUAGUUAUGCAAUAUUUUUAUGUGGGACUGAGGAUCCAACCCAGUGUCUCACACAUGAGAGGCGGGCACUCUCCCUCCCCACCACAAUAUCAGCCCCAUAUAUACUUAAGUUUUAUAAGUAUACACUUAUGUGUAUAUAAUAUAUAUAUAUGUUUAAACUAAGACUUAGUGUUCUAAGUGCUUUCCGUUAGGUCAUGUUAUCUUUAAUCAAGAAGUACACAGGCCUGGGGUUGUGUCUCAGCGGUAGAGUGCUUACCUAGGCGCUGGAUUUGAUCCUCAGCACCACAUAAAAAUAAAGUUAUUGUGUCCAACUACAACUAAAAAAUAUUAAAAAAAAAAAAAAAAGUAGAAGUACACAGAGUAAAAACUAAUCACCUGCUCAGCCUGCCACAGUGAUUAACAGGAUCUAAGCAAGCAUGGAGUAGCAAGGUCUGGCUGAUCUAUUCCCAAGAAAUACUUGGAAAGAAAAAAUAUAACAUUUUCCUCAGGUUUGAUAUUAUAUAUUGUGUCAUGAAAAUUUUGGUAUACUGAUGACUUUGUAUUAUUCUGUUAAGGAAUAGAGUGUCUUGGGUGGGAUGCGGUAGCAUACACCUGUAAUCCCAGUCGCUAUAUAGUUGAGGCUCUUAAUCUCUACUUCCCUCCACUGUCCCUUCCCCAUAUCUUAGGGAACUGCUUUGUGAGGUGAUUUGAUCACUACACUUUAAGAUGGCCUUUUGGGGGCUGGGGUGUAGUAGAGUGCUUGUCUAGCAUGCGUGAGACAUUGGGUUUGAUUCUCAGCACCACAUAAAAAUAUAAAAAAAUCACAUAAUAAAAGCAUUCUGUCUUAAAAAAAAUGGCUUUUUUUUAAUGUUCAAUACUGAUAAUGAUAUGCAAGUUUCUUUUCUCCUUUCCUUUCUUCCUGUUUGGGGGAUGGGGGCGGAGAGAGAAAAGAGUCAGCUUUCUUUUAUUUGGACCACUGGAAGAUCAGUCUAUUCAUUUUUUUUUUUUUUUAAUGACAUUAGGUAGACUACUGCCCAAUGCACUUCAUUUUAUUUAUUUAUUUAAAGAGAGCAAGAGAGAGAGAAUUUUUUUUUUUCAGUUUUCGGCGGACACAACAUCUUUGUAUGUGGUGCUGAGGAUCGAAUCCGGGCCGCAAGCAUGCCAGGCCAGUGCGGACCUGCUUGAGCCACAUCCCCAGCCCAGAGUCUAUUCAUUUUUGUUGUUGUUUUGUUUUGUUGGUACCAGAGACUUUAUCAACUGAGUCACAUUCCCACCAGAGAUUGAACCCAGGGUCCCUUAACAACUGAGCCACAUAUCCAGUCCUUUUUUUUUUUUUAAUGUUUUAUUUAGACAGGGUCUGCUAAAUUGCUUAGGGCCUCAUUAAGUUGCUGAGCCUGGCUUUGAACUUGUGAUCCUCCUACCUCAGUCUCCUGAGCCAAUGGGAUUACAGGUAUGUGCCACCGCAUCCCACCCAAGACACUAUUCUUUAACAGAAUAAUACAAAGUCAUGAGUAUGCCAAAAUUUUCAUGACAUAAUAUAUAAAACCUGAGGAAAAUGUUAUAUUUUUUUCUUUUUCCAAGUAUUUCUUGGGAAUAGAUCAGCCUAGGCCUUGCUACUCCAUGCUUGCUUAGAGACAGGCCAUUGAUUCCAUAUAUUCAUAGGUGAAAACAGCAGAAUCAUAUAACACAUGACGUGAAGCCUUCCCACCUACUGCGGCUAGAGUGUCCAAGGUUUCCAUGGCAUGUUGGUAGAGUCCUAAUUCUCAUUUUUUUUUUAAUAGUUUCUUUUUUUUUUUUUUAUAUUUUAUUUUUAGUUUUCGGCAGACACAACAUCUUUCUUUGUAUGUGGUGCUGAGGAUCGAACCCGGGCUGCACGCAUGCCAGGCGAGCGAGCUACCGCUUGAGCCACAUCCCCAGCCCCUAAUUCUCAUUUUUUAAAAAGUCACAAUUCCCAAUGUCAUUUGGACUACCACCAGCACAAUUUCUCUAAUUCAUUUGGUCUUUGUACAUCUCUGAAUCUCAUUUCUUCACAAAUGUUGACUAUAUUUUUUCUCAGAGAGGAAGCAGAAAUCAUAGAUUAAAAUCCUCUCCUUUUGCCUGCUCGUUUAUAAACCAACCCCAAUCUGCACCUCUCUUCAUGUCUUUCCACCAAAUAAAAAAUAAAAGGGCUGAUUCAUCGAUGGACAUUGGUUUCUGCCCCAUUUUUCCUUCUCAAGGACUUUAUUUAUUUAUUUUUUAAAAUUUGUGUCUUAGUGGUACUGGGGAUUGAACCCAGGUUUGCUAUAUCACUGUGCUACAUCCCCAGCCCUAUUUAUUUAUUUUUUGCAAGGGGUUCACUAAAUUUGAAACUUUGAACUUGUGAUCCUCCUGCCACAGUCUUUAGUCAUUACAGGCCUGCAGCUGAGCUGAAACAUUAUCUUUCAGUUUGAUGAUAUUGAUAGACAACCUAGAAAUCAUGAGAUAACCAGACCACCAUGGCCAGUGCUAUGUGCCAUGAUUAAGAAAAAUGAGGCUGGGUGCAGUGGCACAUGCCUGUAAUCCCAGCAGCUCAGGAGCCUGAAGCAGGAGGAUCCAGAGUUCAAAGAGAGCUCAGCAAAAGGUGCUAAGCUACUCAGUGAGAUCCUGUCUCUAAAUAAAAUACAAAAAUAGGGCUGGAGAUGUGACUCAGUGGUCAGGUGCUACUUGAGUUCAAUCCUCAGUACCAAAAGAGAGAGAGAGAGAGAAGUGAGUUUACCAGACUGAUCUCUCUGCCCAGGCACUUCUCAUUUUCACAUUUUAUGCAGUUACCUUUGAAAAGAAGGACCCAAAACCCCCAAAAUGCAUUUCACCAUUGGGCUCCCACACUUCUCCCUUUGAAUGUUUAUACUGCUUUAAUGCUUGCUUUCCUGAAUAAAUCUCCUCUGUUUGCUAAAUCAAUCUUUGUGCUUCUCUUGAUACACCUUGACAUUCCUUUCAAUGGUGUAAAUCAAAAACCUAUAAGAGAGCUGGGAGUGGUGACAUAUGUCUAUAAUCCCAGUGACUCAGGACACAGAAGCAGGAAGAUCACAAGUUUGAGAAUAGCCUCAACAAUUUAGGAUAGUCCUAAGCAAUUUAGCCAGACUCAAAACAAUAAAUAAAAUGGCUGGACAAUCCCAAAAAAACAAAGUCUGAAUAUUUUCUCUGAUAUGUGGAUGGUGACACACAAUACAGGGGCAGGGAAGAAUAGAAGUACUUUGUAUUAGACAAAGGGGAAUAAAGGGGGAUGGGAAUAGGAAAGACAGAAUGAACCAGAUGUAACUUUCCUAUGUUCAUAUAUGAAUACACAACCAGCAUAACUUCACAUCAUGUAUAACUACAUGGGAAGUUAUACUCCAUGUAUGUAUAAUAUGUCAAAAUACAUUCUACUGUCAUGUAUAACUAAAAAGAAAAAGUUAAAAAAAAUUAUGUGCAAAGAAAAAAUAAUAAAAUAAAAGGGUUGGAGAUGUAUCUCAGUGGUAAAGUGUCCCUGGGUUCAAUCUCUAGUACAGCAAAAAAUAAAUUAAUAAAUAAAAUAAAAAUAAAUAAAUGCAUAAAUAAAUAAAAUGAAAUAUGAUGUAAUAGUUGAAGUGGUUUGCUUUCCUAAGGACAUAAUCAAAACAUAAGUAGUGACAAAAGUCACGUAAGUAGAGCCAAAAAAAAAAAAACAACUAAAAGCUUAGGUUUAGAAACAGUAAAAUACUAGUUUGUCUGUGAUUUUCAACUUUAAGCCAUUUCCUAGGAUUCAGUUCUAAAAGUAUUAGAAUGGGCCUGGGGUCAUACCUCAGUGGUAGAGCUCCUUAGUGUUGGGGAGGUUCUGGGUUCCAUCCAGAGGAGUGCAAAAAUAAUAUCAUGACAUGGUUGUCAUGUCCUAUCACACACAUUACUUUUUUUUAAUUUGUUCUUUUUAGAUAUACAUGACAGUAGAGUGUAUUUUGACAUACAUGAAGUAUAAUUUAUUCUCACACAUUACUUUGUUUAUAGUUAUUUUUUUUAGUUGUAGUUGGGCACAAUAUCUUUAUUUUAUUUAUUAAUUUUUUAUGUGGUGCUGCGAAUAGAACCUAGGGCCUUGCACGUGCUUGGCAAGCAAUCAGUAAUAAUAUUGAUGAUAGUAAUAGUAACAAAUAUUAUCAAUAAAUCCAAUUUCUUCAGCUUGGAGUAAAAGUUUAAUAGUUGUUUUUUGUUUGUUUGUUUUUGGUACCAAGGAUUGAACCCAGGGGCGUUUACCACUAAGCCACAUCCCCAGCUCUUUUUAUAUUUUUAUUUAGAUAUUUAGACACAGGGUCUCACUGAGUUGCUUAGAACUUCACUAAGUUGCUGAGGCCUUAGCCUCCCAAACAGCUGGAAUUACAAGCAUGUGCCACCAUGCCCUACUUGGAGUAAAAAUUGAAAUAAAAUUCAUAUUAGGGGGCUGGGGAUGUGGCUCAAGUGGUAGUACGCUCUCCUGGCAUGCGUGCGGCGCUGAGUUCGAUCCUCAGCACCACAUACAAAUAAAGAUGUUGUGUCCGCCGAAAACUAAAAAAUAAAUAUUAAAUUCUCUCUCUCUCUAAAAAAAAAUUUAUAUUAGGAUUCAAGGAUGACAAUUAUCCUAAGUUAAUCUGUAUCUUUAGAGCAAUCGUGUGUGUGCGCGCGCGUGUCUGAAAACAGAACUCAAUGGCUCUCUACCACUGAGCUACUCUUUUCUUUUUCUGUACCAGCAACAUUAUACCUCUGAGUUAUAUCUCCAUAUUCCCACUCUUCUUUUUUUUUUUAAUUUUAUCUUGAGCAGAGACUCACUGAGGUGGGGACGACUUCAACUUAUGAUUCUCCUGGCAAAGUAGCUGAGACUGAAAAAAAUGUUCAAUGUCUCUAUUAAUUAGAGAAAUGCAAAUUAAAGGUACACUGAGAUUUUACCUCACUCCAGUCAGAAUGGCAACUAUCAAGAAUAAAAGUAACAGCCAGUUGUGGUGGUGCACACCUGUAAUCCCAGCAUCUCUGCAGGCUGAGACAGGAGGAUUAUAGUUCAGUACCCACCCCCCAAAAAAUCCACCAAAACAACUAGGAAUGGAACCACCAUUUUACCCAGUCAUACCAGUUCUUGGUAUAUAUCCAAAAGAGUUAAAUUCAGCAUAAUACACUGACACAGGCAUAUAGAUGUUAUAGCAGUUCAAUUCACAAUAGCUAAACUAUAGAAACAACCUAGAUGGGGGAAAGGGAUAUGCGUGUGGGGGAGGGGUGAAAGGGUGGGGAAGGAGCAGGGGGUGUGGGGAUGGGAAGGUGAGGUUGGGGGCAUGAGGAUGGGGGUAUGGGGGACCAUGGGAUGGUGGAUGAGGCAGAAGGAUUGCGAUUAAAAUUUAGUGACAGCAGCAAUUUAGUGAUACUUCAUUCAAAUUUUUUAAGUGCUGGGAAUGCAGCCUAGUGGCAAAGUGCCCCUUGGUUCAAUUCCCAAUAUGGCAAUGUACAAAUAAACAAAUAAAAUCAUAUUGAGCACCUGUGGUGCAUGCCUGUACUUCCAGCUCAUCAGGAAGCUGAAGCAGAAGGAUCUCAAGUUCAAAGCUAACCUAGGCAACAUAGUGAGUCUCCCGUCAAACAAAAAGAAAACAGUAUAACAAGAAUACAACCAAAUAAAUAAAUAAAUAAAUAAAUAAGAAUACAACCAACCAAUUUUUUUUUUUUUGGUUGAACUCAGGGGCACUUAACCUCUGAGCCACAUCCCCAGCCCUAUUUUGUAUUUUAUUUAGAGACAGGGUCUCACUGAGUUGCUUAGCAUCUCACCGCUGCUGAGGCUAGCUUUGAAUUCGCCAUCCUCCUGUCUCAGUCUCCCAGAUGUAGAUGGCCACAACACUUUUAUUUUAUUUAUUUAUAUUUUAUUUAUUUAUUUUAUUUUAUUUACUUUAUAGGCAUGUGCCACUGCACCUGGCCAACCAAUUUUAAAUUGGAGAAAGAAAUAAUGGUUUAACAACAGUGUGAAUAUAUUCAAUGCCACUAAAUUGUGUUCUAAAAAAUGGCGAAAAUUGUAAAUUUUAUGCUACAUAUUUUUUAAAGAGGGGGGAGAAUUUUUUAAUUUUUUAAUAUUUAAUUUUAAUUUUUAAUAUUUAAUUUUAAUAUUUAAUUUUUUAAUAUUUAUUUUUUAGUUUUCAGUGGACACAACAUCUUUAUUUUAUUUGUAUGUGGUGCUGAGGAUUGAACGCAGCACAUGCCAGGUGAGCGCGCUACCGCUUGAGCCACAUCCUCAGCCCCAACAUAUUUUUUAAAGAGUUGAAAUCAGUAAAAAAAUUAUUUGUAGUUGUAGAGUUGUAGCUGGAUAGCAUCAUUUAUUUUAUUUGUUUAUUUUUAUAUGGUUCUAAGGAUCAAUCGCAGUGACUCCUACAUGCUAGGCAAUGCUCUGCCACUGAGCCAUAACUCCAGCCCAUACAUAUAUUUUUUAUUACAAUCAAAAUAUUUGCUAAGGGGCUGGGGUUGUGGCUUGGUGGUAGAGCACUUGCCUAGCAUACAUAAGGCACUGGGUUUGAACCUCAGUACCACAUAAAAAAUAAGUAAAUAGGGGCUGGGAGGUGGCUCCUAGCAUGCGUGAGGCACUGAGUUCAAUUCUCAGCCACAUAAAAAUAAAAUAAAGAUAUUGUGUCCACCUAAAAACUAAAAAAUAAAUAUAAAAAAUAAAUUAAUUAAUUAAAUAAAAGUGUUGUUGCCAUCUACAACUAAAGAUAUUUUUUUAAAAAGAUUUGCCAAAACAUGGGGAAGGGGAGAAAAAAGGACUUGAAUAGAAAUUUCUCCAAGGAAGAUGUACAAAUGGCCAAUAAACACAUGAAAUUGUGCUCAACAUCUUUAGUCAUUCCAUAAGGGAGCUACAUAUCAAAACUGCUAUGACAUUUCACUUCAUACCCAUGAAGAUUUCUAUUUAUUUUUAAAAAGAGGAAAGAAAUAAAAUAAUAAAGGUUGGUAAGAACAUGGAACAUUUCUUGCAGGAAUAUAAAUAGGGUAAUCACAGUAAAUAUAGUUUAUCAAUUACUCAACAAAUUAAAUAUAGAAUUAUCAUAUGAUUCAGAGACAACCCAUUUGAGACAACCCAUUCCUAGGUACAGUAUAUGCCAAAAACAAUUGAAAAGAGGUCAGACAAAAGCCAGGUGGUGUUGUGCACUCCUUUAAUCCCAGGGUCUGGGGAGGCUGAGGCAAGAGGGUUGCAAGUUCAUGACCAGUCUUGGUAACUUAGUAAGACCCUGUCAAAGCAAAAAAAUAAAAGUGGCUAGGAAUGUAGCUAAAUGGUAUAGCACCUCUGGAUUCAAUUCCCAGUAUUGAAAAAAAAUUAAAAAUAAAAAUAAUAAUUAAAAGACUAAUAAAUAACACUGAAUUGGGAUUUGGUAGUAGAGGAAGAUAUUUUUUGAAUAGUGCUAGAAGCAGGCUUUGUGUGUGUUAUGUUUGGGGGGGUAUUUGGAAUUGAAUUCAUGGGCUCACACACUCCUGAGCCCCAUCCAUAGCCUUUCUUUAUUUUGUUUUGAGACAAGGUCUCCCUAAAUUGCCUUCCCUGGCCUGAACUUGUGGUCCUCUUGCCUCAACUACCUGAGUAACUGAGAUUACAAGCCUGUGCUAGCAGCAGGUACUCAUAGGGGGAAUUUCUAUGAAAGAAAGAAAAACAAAGAUUAGCAGUUGGAAGCCCAAUUUUUUGGGGAGUGCUGUUAUAAAGGAUUGAACUCCAGGGUACUCGACUAUUAAGCCACAUCCCGAGCCCUAGGCUGGCUUUGAACUCGCUAUCCUCCUGCCUCAUCCUCCCAAGAUGCUGGGAUUACAAGGCAUAUGCCACCACACUCAGCUGGGAGUCCAAUUUAAGAGUCCAGAGGGCAGUCAGUGACAUUUCAGGAUUCUGGACUUAAGGAUGGCAUUAGCAUUCUCACUUGAUCACUUCAAAGUUUGUUUUGCAGAAACUGGUUUUGUGUGUGUGUGUGUGUGUGUUGCUGGGGAAUCAAACCCAGGGCCUUGUGCAUGUGAGGCAAGCACUCUACCAGCCCUGCUUUUUAUUUAAAAUUCUUUUUGUAGUUGUAGAUGGAUAGAAUACCUUUAUUUAUUUAUUUAUUGGUAUUGGGCAUUUAACUCAGGGCACCCAACUACUCAGCCACAUCCCCAGCUCUAUUUUGUAUUUUAUUUAGAGACAGGGUCUCACUGAGUUGCUUAGCGCCUCACUUUUACUGAGGGUGGCUUUGAACUCGCAAUCCUUCUGCCCCUGAGCCACUGGGAUUACAGGUCUGUGCCACCACGCCCGGCUAGAAUAUCUUUAUUUUAUUCGUUUAUUUAUCUAUUAUUUUUUGGUGUGGUGCUGGAGAUUGAACCCAGGGCCUUGUAUAUGUGAGACAAGACUCUACCAACUGAGCUAUAUCCCCAGUCCUUGUUUAUUUCUAUGUGUUGCUAAGGAUAGUUUAUUUCUAUGUGCUGCUAAGGAUAGAACCCAGUCCCCUCACACAUGCUAGCUUUGAACUCUGUGCUCUGCCACUGAAGUACAAUCCCAGCCCUUGCAGAAACUUUUUUUUUUUUUUGUACUGAAGAUUGAACUCAGGGGACUUAACCACUGAGCCACAUCUCCAGCCCUUUUUCAUAUUUUAUUUAGAGACAUGGUCUCACUGAAUUGCUUGGCACCUUGCUAAGUUGCUGAGGCUGGCUUUGAACUUGCAAUCCUCCUGCCUCAGCCUCCCAACUCCCAAGCCAUUGGGAUUAUAGGAAUGUGCCAGUAUGCCAGCUUGCAGAAACUUUUGAUAAAGAAUAUUAGACUGUAUUUUUUUUUUUUUUUUGGUGGUGGUUGUGCUGAGGACAGAAUCUUGAGCUAAGUAUAGGAUGUAUCAAUGAGCUAUCCCCAACCCCUCAGAUUGUACCUUUGUUUUUUAGACAGGGUUUCACUAUGUUUGCCAGGUUAGGCUCAAGUAGUCCUCCUGGCUCAGCUUCCUGAGUAUUAUGGACUAUAUUUAUGCACUACCAUGUCUAGCAGAUUACACAUUUAACACCCAUAGAGACUAGGAAGUCAAGUCAAAGACUAGCCAUCAGAUUUUGCAUGAAAUAUUUAUAAGUUGGGUGAAUUCUUCCCUUCUCCAGAGGCAAAAAGUAUCAUAAGUCACAAAGGAUCUUAAACGACAUUCCUUAAGUGACAUUCCUUAAAUGACAUUCCUUACCUUACAAUAACCAGAGAGGGACCAUAUGCGGUCCCAGGUAUGAGGUUCCAGGCUAGUAUCCUUCCAGGAAGCUUUAUGGGCUCCAUAUGAUCAACCUUAGUUGUUUUUUGUUGUUGUUAUUUGUUUGUUUGUACCAGGGAUUGAACUCAGGGGCACUUAACUACUGAGCCAUAUCCCCAGCCCUACUUUGUAUUUUAUUUAGAGAGUAUUUAGAGAUAGGUUCUCACUGAGUUGCUGAGGCUGACUUUGUUUGAACUCAGGAUCCUCAUGCCUCAGCUUUCCGAGCUGUUGGGAUUACAGGCAUGCAUCACUGUGCCCGGCUCAACCUUAGUUCUUUAAUGUUGCCUGGUAAUAUCUGAAAAUAUGAUAUUUGAGUCAAAAUCUUGGAAAUAUAAGCAAUAAUUGUGUCCUAUUACAAAAACAUCUUCUCAUUAAAUUUGUGCAAGCUUUAUAUUGCCAUGAAAAUAAGAAUAUUCAAUAGUUUCUGCAGUCUAGAGGGGAUAGGUAGGGACAAAAAGUUUGUUCCAUCUUUGACUCACAGAGGCAUACUUUACUAAAUUACUGUAAAAUAUACAUAGCUAGUGGAAAUAGUUUCCUUAAAUCUGAAGGAUGUGGUUGUAACUCAGUGGAUAAAGCUUGCCCAGCUUGGGCUGGGGAUGUGGCUCAAGCGAUAGCGCACUCACCUGGCAUGCGUGUGGCCUGGGUUCAAUCCUCAGCACCACAUACAAACAAAGAUGUGUCCACCGAAAACUAAAAAAUAAAUAUUAAAUAUUAAAAAAUUCUCUCUCUUAAAAAAAAAAAGAAAGAAAGCUUGCCCAGCUUGUGUGAGGCCUUUGUUAAUUAUUAGCAACAUACACACACACUCUCUCUCUCUCUCUCUCUCUCUCUCACACACACACACACCAUUGCUUAAAUGUGGAAAAAUAAAAUAUAAAAUAACAAGUAAUAUUUUUUAAAAUUAUUUUUUUAGUUGUAGAUGGACACAGUAACUUUACUUUUAUGUGGCGCUGAGGACUGAACCCAGUCGCUCACACAUGCAAGGCAGGUGCUUUGCCACUGAGCUACAGCCCCAGCCCAAGAACGAAUAAUAUUUAUGACUUAAAGAAAAACUGAUAAUGCUACUACAUGGUCAAACUUUGAAAAUUAUAUACUAAGUCAAAGAACCCAAACACACAAAAGGCCACACAUUGCAGAUUCUACUUAUAUGUCUAGGAUGGGCCAUUGAAGAGAAAAAGAUUAGGGGUGAUCAGAGUUUUGAUGAGUGGAGUUAGAGCGUAAAGAGAGCAAAUUGGGCUCUCCUCAAAGUUAUCUAUGAUGUAUAUAGACCAGUAGUUUUCAGACUAUGCCAAAAUUUGAGUUAUUCCAUUUUGUAAAGCAGUAGUUUGCCAUAAGUUACUCUACUUCUAAGUGUUUAGGUGGAAUGACUCCAUACCUUGCUUGUACAAGCAAACAACCACCAUCUGCCUUGCACAGGCAUAAAGUACAAACCAAUAAAUAAAUACUACUAAUAAAAAUGACCACCUUUGAACUGACUGAAUUAAUCAGCAGCACAUGAAUACAUGACAUAUCAAACUCAUAUCAGAAAAACCAGGCCCAUGAGCAUAUGGAACACAUCAGACCACUGUAUGAAGCAGCCUACCUGAGGCCCCAUAAAAGGAGUAGCACCCUGAGACUGGUCAUUUCAGUACCCUGACUCCUUCACCUGGUCAAUAUCAUGAGCCUUGCCCAGGAAGAUCACCACAUCACAAGCUUCUGAAUGUUGGUCCUCAGGUUAUAGCACUGUGUGGUUUCUCCUGCCCAUGGCCCACAGCAAGCUGACACUCUGAAACUGUGGUCUGACCACACCUUGGUCCUAUGCUUUGACAGCUCUACACCCUAAACAAAUUCUUUUUUUUUUAAUAUUUAUUUUUUAGUUUUCUACAUCUUUGUUUGUAUGUGGUGCUGAGGAUCGAACCCGGGCCGCAGGCAUGCCAGGUGAGCGUGCUACCGCUUGAGCCACAUCCCCAUCCCCUGAACAAAUUCUUAAGCUAGUCCUUAAUAUUUUUUUUGGUGGGGGGUUCGUACAAGAGAUUGAACCCAGGGGCACUCAGGCACUGAGCCACAGCCCUAUCUCUAUAUCUAUCUAUCUAUCUUAGAUACAAUACCUUCAUUUUAUUUAUUUAUUUUUCUGUGGUGCUGAGGACCGAACCCAGGGCCUCACACUUGCUAGGUAAGCGCUCUACCGCUGAGCCACAACCCCAGGCCCUCAGCCCUAUUUUGUAUUUUAUUUAGAGACAGGGUCUCACUGAGUUUCUUAGUGUCUCGCCAUUGCUGAGGCUGGCUUUUAACCCAGUCUUAGCCUCCUGAGCAACUGGGAUUACAGGUUUGUGCCACUGCAUCCAGUGAGCUGGUCCUUAAUAUUUUAUUUUUGUUUUUUUUUGUUACCAGGGACUGAACCCAGGGGCGCUUAACCACUGAGCAACAUCUCCAGCCCUUUUUACGUUUUAUGUUCAGCUAUAAAAUCGGCUUGCAGAACUAUUAUUUGGUUCCAUUCUUAUGUCUAGAUUACUUAACACAGUGUGUGGCAAUUUUAGAUUUUCCUUAAUUGAUGGUAGCAUUGAUGGCAACUAGGGGUAGUAGAUUUAACAGAUGAAACAAUAAAAUGGUCAGCAAAAUAAGAAAAGCUUGCUAAAUUGUUUAGGGCCUUGCUAUAUUGUUGAGGUUGGCCUUGAAUUUGGGAUUCUUCUGUUUCAGCCUUCUAAACUGCUGGGAUUAAAGGCCUAUGCCACCUUCUGGGCCUGGUCCUUAAUCUUUUGACCCUCUACAGUGCUCUUAGUUCAGUCUCAGAACACCUACAGCUGCUUUAAGCCUUUUUUAGUCUAGUGUAAAGUGUGUGACUUGAGUGUUUUAGCUAUUAAAAAUUGAGACUUGGGGCCGGGGCUGUAGCUCAGUGGCAGAGCGCUUGCCUAGCAUGUGUGAGGCACUGGGUUCCAUAUUUAGCACCACAUAAAAAUUAAAAAAUGAAAAAAAGGCAUUCUGUCCAUACAAAACUACAUUUUUUUUAAAAUUAAAAGAUUGGAGUAAAGAAACCUGAUUGUUUGGCUUAUGACCAUCAGGUGACCCACAAGUAUUCAGUGAACUGACACUGAUGAAAACAGUGUUACCUGUGAAUUUAUUGUUAUUCACUAAAUUGUGACACUGUGGAAAGACACCAAACGUGUUUUGUCUAUGUAAAUGACAUAGCUCACUCAUGACAGGGAGUUAAUAGGUUAAUAGGUGUAGGUUUCUUAUUUGGGUGAUGAAAAGAGUUAAUAAUAGCAGUGGUCAUGGUGGCACAACCUAUGAACACUCUAAAGGCCAUUAAAUUGUACACUUUAAAAUAGUCCAUCUUGGCGCAAUGGUGCGAACCUGUCUGUGGUCCCAACUCUGGAGGCUGAGGC
RNAcentral lists this long non-coding RNA (25130 nucleotides) under Marmota monax (woodchuck). The stretch from base 6624 to 6692 matches the Rfam family "tRNA". The record is from RNAcentral. Lineage: Eukaryota; Metazoa; Chordata; Mammalia; Rodentia; Sciuridae.